This 71-nucleotide transfer RNA is filed under the name Marmota monax (woodchuck). RNAcentral's name for it is "tRNA.Ala". Lineage: Eukaryota; Metazoa; Chordata; Mammalia; Rodentia; Sciuridae. The record is from RNAcentral.
GCAGUUAUAGUUCAGUGGUAGAAUGCAUACCUAGCAUGUGUGAGGCGCUGGGUUCAAUCCUCAGCACCUCA